RNAcentral lists this ribosomal RNA (94 nucleotides) under Monopterus albus (swamp eel). Lineage: Eukaryota; Metazoa; Chordata; Actinopteri; Synbranchiformes; Synbranchidae. The record is from RNAcentral.
AUCCACGCCAAGUCCGAUCUCAGAAGCUAAACAGGGUUAAGCCUGGUUAGUACUUGGAUGGGGGACCACCUGAGAACAGAAGGUGCUGUGGGUA